CUUUGAUCGCUUGUGCCAGUGUUUGGGUGAAUAAAAGUGAGGCGAGCCAAAGGCGCCAACCUCCUCUGCCUACUAGAGGAAAUGCAGAACUUUGAUGAUGUAUUGAGAGGAGAUACAAACAAUUACAGUAAUGAUUGAAUUUAAAAGGGAUUGAUUGCCCAAUGAUCAAUUCAUUCAAUUAUAUUACUAAGUAAUGAAGAUUACCUAUCUUGGAACAAAAGGACAAUGUUUUUGAUCUUCAUAUUCCAAAGUGUGCAAAAGACUAGAAUUUCAGAUGUAAAAGAGGCUGCCUUUAGGAGUGACAUACAAUUAAAGGGAGAAUGCAAUUGCUGAUAUCUAACACUGAAACUAUAUAGAAAAGGUGAAGAGAGAAG
Long non-coding RNA from Heterocephalus glaber (naked mole-rat), 374 nucleotides. Lineage: Eukaryota; Metazoa; Chordata; Mammalia; Rodentia; Bathyergidae. The record is from Ensembl.